CUCUCGGCAACGGAUAUCUCGGCUCUCGCAUCGAUGAAGAACGUAGCGAAAUGCGAUACUUGGUGUGAAUUGCAGAAUCCCGUGAAUCAUCGAGUCUUUGAACGCAAGUUGCGCCCGACGCCAUUCGGCCAAGGGCACGUCUGCCUGGGUGUCACGCACCGUUGCC
RNAcentral lists this ribosomal RNA (166 nucleotides) under Fagus sylvatica (European beech). RNAcentral describes it as "5.8S ribosomal RNA". It matches the Rfam family "5.8S ribosomal RNA". Rfam says of the family: 5.8S ribosomal RNA (5.8S rRNA) is a component of the large subunit of the eukaryotic ribosome. It is transcribed by RNA polymerase I as part of the 45S precursor that also contains 18S and 28S rRNA. The record is from RNAcentral. Lineage: Eukaryota; Viridiplantae; Streptophyta; Magnoliopsida; Fagales; Fagaceae.